CAAUUGCGUAUAUUAAAGUUGUUGCGGUAAAAAAGCUCGUAGUUGGAUUUCUACCGAAGAUAGCCGGUCGGGUCUUCGACCUUGUAUCUGGUUUUGUCUUUGGUAUCCUCAUAGGGAACGUUUCUGCGCUUUAUUGCGUGGUGCGGUAUCUAUGACUUUUACUUUGAGGAAAUUAGAGUGUUCACGGCAGGCAAACGCCUUGAAUAUAUUAGCAUGGAAUAAUAACAUAGGAUCUUCGUCCUAUUUUGUUGGUUUCUAGGGCUAAGAUAAUGAUUAAUAGGGAUAAUUGGGGGCAUCUGUAUCAACGCGUCAGAGGUGGAAUUCUUGGAUUGCGUUGCGACAAACUACUGCGAAAGCAUUUGCCAAGGAUGUUUUCAUUGA
This 381-nucleotide ribosomal RNA is filed under the name uncultured eukaryote. RNAcentral's name for it is "partial 18S ribosomal RNA". It matches the Rfam family "Eukaryotic small subunit ribosomal RNA", at positions 592 to 976 of the family's 1831-position model. The record is from RNAcentral.